AGCGAACGCUGGCGGUAGGCCUAACACAUGCAAGUCGAACGGCAGCACAGAGGAGCUUGCUCCUUGGGUGGCGAGUGGCGGACGGGUGAGGAAUACAUCGGAAUCUACUCUGUCGUGGGGGAUAACGUAGGGAAACUUACGCUAAUACCGCAUACGACCUACGGGUGAAAGCAGGGGACCUUCGGGCCUUGCGCGAUUGAAUGAGCCGAUGUCGGAUUAGCUAGUUGGCGGGGUAAAGGCCCACCAAGGCGACGAUCCGUAGCUGGUCUGAGAGGAUGAUCAGCCCCACUGGGACUUAGUCACGGUCCAGACUCCUACGGGAGGCAGCAGUGGGGAAUAUUGGACAAUGGGCGCAAGCCUGAUCCAGCCAUACCGCGUGGGUGAAGAAGGCCUUCGGGUUGUAAAGCCCUUUUGUUGGGAAAGAAAUCCAGCUGGUUAAUACCCGGUUGGGAUGACGGUACCCAAAGAAUAAGCACCGGCUAACUUCGUGCCAGCCGCCGCGGUAA
RNAcentral lists this ribosomal RNA (506 nucleotides) under uncultured bacterium. RNAcentral's name for it is "partial 16S ribosomal RNA". It matches the Rfam family "Bacterial small subunit ribosomal RNA", at positions 29 to 523 of the family's 1533-position model. The record is from RNAcentral.